Molecule: ribosomal RNA, 574 nt
Filed under: uncultured Williamsia sp.
Lineage: Bacteria; Bacillati; Actinomycetota; Actinomycetes; Mycobacteriales; Nocardiaceae
Description: bacterial SSU rRNA
Rfam family: Bacterial small subunit ribosomal RNA
Source: RNAcentral
ACUCCUACGGGAGGCAGCAGUGGGGAAUAUUGCACAAUGGGCGCAAGCCUGAUGCAGCGACGCCGCGUGAGGGAUGACGGCCUUCGGGUUGUAAACCUCUUUCACCAGGGGCGAAUUGAGACGGUACCUGGAGAAGAAGCACCGGCCAACUACGUGCCAGCAGCCGCGGUAAUACGUAGGGUGCGAGCGUUGUCCGGAAUUACUGGGCGUAAAGAGCUCGUAGGCGGUUUGUCGCGUCGUUCGUGAAAACCCGAUGCUUAACAUCGGGCGUGCGGGCGAUACGGGCAGACUUGAGUACUACAGGGGAGACUGGAAUUCCUGGUGUAGCGGUGAAAUGCGCAGAUAUCAGGAGGAACACCGGUGGCGAAGGCGGGUCUCUGGGUAGUAACUGACGCUGAGGAGCGAAAGCGUGGGUAGCGAACAGGAUUAGAUACCCUGGUAGUCCACGCCGUAAACGGUGGGUACUAGGUGUGGGUUCCUUUCACGGGAUCCGUGCCGUAGCUAACGCAUUAAGUACCCCGCCUGGGRAGKACGGCCGCAAGGCUAAAACUCAAAUGAAUUGACGGARRAUCYA